UGGGGAAUAUUGCACAAUGGGCGCAAGCCUGAUGCAGCCAUGCCGCGUGUAUGAAGAAGGCCUUCGGGUUGUAAAGUACUUUCAGCGGGGAGGAAGGGAGUAAAGUUAAUACCUUUGCUCAUUGACGUUACCCGCAGAAGAAGCACCGGCUAACUCCGUGCCAGCAGCCGCGGUAAUACGGAGGGUGCAAGCGUUAAUCGGAAUUACUGGGCGUAAAGCGCACGCAGGCGGUUUGUUAAGUCAGAUGUGAAAUCCCCGGGCUCAACCUGGGAACUGCAUCUGAUACUGGCAAGCUUGAGUCUCGUAAAGGGGGGUAGAAUUCCAGGUGUGGCGGUGAAAUGCGUAGAGAUCUGGAGGAAUACCGGUGGCGAAGGCGGCCCCCUGGACGAAGACUGACGCUCAGGUGCGAAAGCGUGGGGAGCAAACAGG
Molecule: ribosomal RNA, 429 nt
Filed under: Chloroflexota bacterium
Lineage: Bacteria; Bacillati; Chloroflexota
Description: Chloroflexi bacterium partial 16S ribosomal RNA
Rfam family: Bacterial small subunit ribosomal RNA
Source: RNAcentral